GAAGGAUGAAGUUGUCUCUUCUAAUCUAUUGUCCACAAUACGAACUUGAUUAAAUUGCAUCCGGUUGAGCUUUGCGGAUCACGUGAAUGAGCCAAACGGAGUCUCGAAGGUCUCCCCCGAAAAUGGAAUAAUCUCAGUUGUUGGGAUCUCGAAGAAUCAUGGUAUCUCAAGGAGUCUGCGGAUAAUGCGAGUAGGAUAAGCGCUGAAUGUCGUCUAGAGUCCACUUGUAACCACGCUGGGCAUAUCAGUGAAGGACCAGGAGGAGUGAUAGUUUAUCCUCAAGAAUAUGACAGAGACAGCGAGCAGGGAGUGCUCUUCGGGUACGAGAGAGGAGAGUCAACAUUUUUUUUUUAUUAUUUCUUCAGCGACACCAGGGGGGUGCCCCUGGAUGUCAUCCAAUGAGGGUGAAGUAAAAAAAUAAUGAUAAAAGGCGGAGCCGGCGGUGUGAUUCGAUUGGUGGAGAUAUCGCGGGCGUUUGAGUCAACGGUUGGGAGAAGAAGAGGGGCAACACUCCACUCUCAGCGAUUCUCCUCCUCCUCUCGGCGCGCCUUUUCUCCAACCUCUCACUUCCCUCCUGCAUCGGUUUCAUCUCUGCAACCCCCUCACCACUUUUACCAUGUACCCCGACGGUGUGGUGACGGCGAACGGAGAGAAAAGUCGCAGAAAAAUUACUGGGCCAUGCGACACUGAGAAAUAAAUUAUUUUUUUCAAAUAUUCAUUAACUUCAGAAAAUUAUUGAAUUUUUUUGUUGUUUUUGGGAUUGGGUUAUUUGAAAGAAUAAUUCUGGGAAUAAUUGAAACUAUUGAAGUAGCUCUAGUGGCCCAAGUGCACAAAGUCGUCUUUAUUUCGGCACCAGAUAUUGGAGUUUGCAUUUCAAACUGUUUAUCAAAAAUUAAUUAAGGAUAGGAAUUGUCUCAAUAAUAUAAAAACGAUUUAACUAUUAACUUUAAUUCUUUAUUAUCGUAUGAUGUCUCCAGAUCAAUUGACUCCCAUUGACUAAAGAUUUGACACUCUAGACCCAUUUGACAAAAGGCCCUUGUUCAUUAAUUCCUUUCCGUUUCUUCUCUGGUUCUAUUUAUUAAAAUAACUAAUUUGCAUUUCUUUUAUUCUCGUGUUGCCACUUGAAAUUGAAAAACAUUUUUAUGGGUGAAAAUUGUGAGAAGUUUGAUAUUGAAAAUGGAUUAUUUAAAAUAAUAAUUCUGGAAAUGCUUGAAACUAUUUCUCUACUUUAUUAUUUAACUCAAAUAAUUGUGCUUGGAAGACACAUCCGCUCUGUGCCGAUUCCUUAGAGGAAUUAACUAGAUUUAAAAAGGGAAACAACACCCUGGACCUUUUAGUCACAUGCCCUCAAAGAGUCCUAUUCAUUCCACUUUGUCUACACACUUAAAAUCAAACCUAACGCUGUACUAUACUGACUUAUACCAAUAGACAAUCUGGAUUCAAAUAACGUAUAUGAUACUGAUGAAGGUAUUGCAAUUAAUUUGGACGCGCUGUGGUAGGACAUUCAUAUGAAACCCUACUAGCAUUCUGCGCUCGGCACUAAGGGCUCGCGACGGGGAUGCGGAUGAUACGAACCAGAACGUCCAAAAAAUCCAAAGUCCAAUAAAUGCAGAUGAGGGUUUUUCCUGCGUGGUCGCGCAGAUUGUCCGAAUCUCGGUUCCUAUUUAUGGAUUUAAAUCGACUUGAGGUUUCUCAUAUCGAGAUGCAAAUGUUGAUAUCAAGGGACAGGUGACCUCGAUGGGCACCUUAGCCCAUCCUUGAGGUUAAAUAACAUUUAUUUUGAUAAAAAAAUGAAUUUUAUUAUAAGAAUUUCAUUUGAACGAACUAUCAUUAGUUUGAAAAUUUUCAAAUGACAGUGAUUUUGCAAUAAACAGGUAUUUAGUCUCCGAGAUAGGUUUCAGUGAAAGAAAUAGAAUUUCUAAAGAAAUGAAGUUCCUUCCUCAUUUAUCGGAAUAAUAGUUAAGCCAUCAAAUCCAGUUGAAACCACUUUUAACUUGAACCGUGGCUAUUUAUUUAUAAUUAUCAAUGAAUUGGUUUUAGUGAAAUAUUAAAUGACUAAUUAAAUAAAAUCACCUUUUUAAAGAAUUCAAAUUUUCGGGAAUUUUUGAUCAACGUUUUAGUGUAGAGGAGUUUGUAAUCACGAGGUGAGACAGUUUCUAAUCACGAAAACAGGAGACUUUACCAUUCACGUAGACACUUGUGUGAUCGUCUCAACCAAUAGCUGAUCACUGAUAGUUAAGAUACUCUUAAUUUUAAGAAAUUCAGGGACCUGGUCAUCACUGCUCUAUUGAUGUAUAAUUUAUAUCAAUCAUGAUUGUCACUGUUGAUCAAUAUGAUCAUCAAGACAAGAGAAAAAAAUAUAAAUAUUCUAGUCGAAUAACACUGAUUAACAACUGGAUCUAUUGAGAAUGCAUGGUAUGUGUGGAAACAAUUAACUAGUUCUGGCUAGUCCUCUGAAAUUAAUUAGCUCUGGUUAGUCCUCUAAAAUUAAUUAGCUCUGGUUAGUCCAUGUCAGUAUUUUCUAGUUUUUCUCAGAACACCGUCGGAAUGUUUAUAAUAGUUUUAAUAAACAGAAACAGAGAAGGAAAAGAGAGAAAUGAGUGCACAAGGGCCUUUUGUUUAAUGGAUCCAGAGUGUGAAACCUUUUAUCACUAAGAUAUACCUUCUGCGUGUGAUAAUUAAUAAUUAAAGGUUACAACCAAAUCGUUUGAUAUCAUUUACUAAACCCCUGUUCAUAAUCCACUAGAAUCAGCUUACG
Long non-coding RNA from Diachasmimorpha longicaudata, 2758 nucleotides. RefSeq lists it as uncharacterized. The transcript has 3 exons. The record is from RefSeq and is a predicted model, not a curated record. NCBI's taxonomy places the organism in Eukaryota, Metazoa, Arthropoda, Insecta, Hymenoptera, Braconidae.